This 500-nucleotide ribosomal RNA is filed under the name uncultured bacterium. Its description in RNAcentral is "bacterial SSU rRNA". It matches the Rfam family "Bacterial small subunit ribosomal RNA", at positions 28 to 514 of the family's 1533-position model. The record is from RNAcentral.
GAUGAACGCUAGCUACAGGCUUAACACAUGCAAGUCGAGGGGAAACGAUAGAGAAAGCUUGCUUCUGAUAGGCGUCGACCGGCGCACGGGUGAGUAACGCGUAUCCAACCUGCCCAUCACUUGGGGAUAACCUUGUGAAAGUAAGACUAAUACCCAAUGACGUCUCUAGAAGACAUCUGAAAGAGAUUAAAGAUUUAUCGGUGAUGGAUGGGGAUGCGUCUGAUUAGCUUGUUGGCGGGGUAACGGCCCACCAAGGCGACGAUCAGUAGGGGUUCUGAGAGGAAGGUCCCCCCACAUUGGAACUGAGACACGGUCCAAACUCCUACGGGAGGCAGCAGUGAGGAAUAUUGGUCAAUGGACGAGAGUCUGAACCAGCCAAGUAGCGUGCAGGAUGACGGCCCUAUGGGUUGUAAACUGCUUUUAUAAGGGAAUAAAGUGGGAGUCGUGACUCUUUUUGCAUGUACCUUAUGAAUAAGGACCGGCUAAUUCCGUGCCAGCAG